GAAGAACCUUACCAAAUCUUGACAUCCUUUGACAACUCUAGAGAUAGAGCCUUCCCCUUCGGGGGACAAAGUGACAGGUGGUGCAUGGUUGUCGUCAGCUCGUGUCGUGAGAUGUUGGGUUAAGUCCCGCAACGAGCGCAACCCUUAAGCUUAGUUGCCAUCAUUAAGUUGGGCACUCUAAGUUGACUGCCGGUGACAAACCGGAGGAAGGUGGGGAUGACGUCAAAUCAUCAUGCCCCUUAUGAUUUGGGCUACACACGUGC
Molecule: ribosomal RNA, 263 nt
Filed under: Staphylococcus aureus
Lineage: Bacteria; Bacillati; Bacillota; Bacilli; Caryophanales; Staphylococcaceae
Description: partial 16S ribosomal RNA
Rfam family: Bacterial small subunit ribosomal RNA
Source: RNAcentral